Molecule: non-coding RNA, 207 nt
Organism: Oryza meridionalis
Lineage: Eukaryota; Viridiplantae; Streptophyta; Magnoliopsida; Poales; Poaceae
Source: Rfam
AAAAAGACAAACCCUGAGUUUCCGUAUCUAACGUUUGACUAUCUGUUUUAUAUAAAUUUUUUUAUUAAUUAGUAUUUUUAUUGUUGUUAGAUGAUAAAACAUGAUUAAUACUUUAUGCGUGACUUAUUUUUUUAAUUUUUCUCAUAAAUUUUUCAAAUAAGACGGACGGUCAAACGUUGGACACGAAAACCCAGGGUUUGUCUUUUU